GUUAAGAUGGCAGAGCCCGGCAAUUGCGUAAAACUUAAAACUUUAAAACCAGAGGUUCAACUCCUCUUCUUAACA
RNAcentral lists this transfer RNA (75 nucleotides) under Cercopithecus petaurista petaurista. RNAcentral describes it as "tRNA-Leu". It matches the Rfam family "tRNA". From Rfam's summary of the family: Transfer RNA (tRNA) molecules are approximately 80 nucleotides in length. Lineage: Eukaryota; Metazoa; Chordata; Mammalia; Primates; Cercopithecidae. The record is from RNAcentral.